AACAUCAAAUUUGGGAUGGGCACCAGUCUCAUUGUUACUUCAAAAGAGACAAAAGAACCAGUCUACUACAGACAUAACGGAUCAUGUCUGGCAACUGACUUCACGAACCAUAAAGAUGUACCAAGCGUUUUUACACCAGUGCGAUAUACAGGCAAAACCUAUGAAAAGUACUACAGCAGCUUUGCCUUUAAAGUUGAAGAUAAAGUCUGCAGUGAAAAAGAUUCAGAGUGUAAAGGUGAAUCAUCUGGUCAAAGUGACAUGGAAUUAGAUGAAAAAAUCAACUUCGUGUCACUGGGGCUCUUUUGGCUAAGAAUUCUCCUUCUGAAGACUGUUGUGUUCAACAUCCUGAUGACUUUCAAAGCGUGGAUGAGCUAACGUCUCACAAAUCCAACAGUCGUUCUUCAUCAGUUGGAUUUAUCACAGUUCCUUCACCGAAGACAACAGAAAAAGCUCACAUUUGACCACAUUCGAGAGCCGUUAGAUCUGCACCGUUGUUGUUAAAUGUUGAUCAAGGGAUUAUGUAACCUCCCUCAGUUAUGCUAUAGUGCUUAUGGUUUUAAGAAUAAUAUACUGUCUACACAUUUGAAUGUAAUGUGUUUAUAUGCUUUUACUGUAUAAUAUGGGCUCAACUAUUCUAGGUUAGGAUACAAUAGAAGUAUAUGCCACCAUUUAGUUGUUUCUAAUUUAGCAACUUAGACUUAGUUUGUUUAAUUUCUCUUUAUUUUAAUGAUUUCUACAUUUAUUACCUGUUAUUUUGUAAAAUUUAUUUUUAAAUUACUUUGAAGCUGGAUUACAUCUGAAGAAUUCUGUCUACAUAGCUUUCAUUUUUUGCAACAUAUUUACAUACACAAUUAAGUUGACUUGUGCUUCCUUCUACAAUGGCAGACUUUCAUUUAAUAAUCACUGUAUUGUGCAAAUCAUAUGAAAAUAAAAUGCAUAAAUGAUCAA
This is a non-coding RNA of Ctenopharyngodon idella (grass carp), 948 nucleotides long. Lineage: Eukaryota; Metazoa; Chordata; Actinopteri; Cypriniformes; Xenocyprididae. The record is from the annotation of a RefSeq genome assembly.